ACGUGGCGAUUGAGAUUUUGUCAAAAUACCAUGCAACAAGGAACCUGACUGUUGUAUCGCAGUCGUCUGUGGAGCUACAGGGGACGGCAGCACCGGGUGAAGGGUCACAUCUGGAUAAUUUUGUGGCGUUUUUAUUGCCUCACCUGGAAGAAGUUCUUUGAUGAGAAAAAAAAAAAACAAAAUUCUGUCCGUCCGCGGAUUCCUUCUGCCCGUUUUCGUUCUGUUUCGAAAUCACCUGGGGCUUCGUUACGCUCUUGUCGCUAAGCGUCGCCUCCGUGGAGUUACUUUUUUCCUUUGCAUUGUCCCACUCUUGUUCGAGGGAAAGACUAGCUGACGGUAAACUGGAGGCAUCGUUGAGCUGGCCGUUCCCUUCCAUAAAACCGACGACCUGACGACGACGUUCAAUUCUCAGAGGGAUUGCAGAAUACUUUUUCGGCCCUUUGUGCGGCACGUGAGAAAGAACACCGACCGUGAAGGACUGACCCGUUCGAAGAAGAACGGAAUUCUGCACCUGCAGCAAUACGCGUUCAACAUGCAGCCGCUACUUUUAGCAGUACAAAACGGAAUCAACUCGGUUUAAUCGGUGAUCCAAGUCUGGAACUGUGAAUCGCGUAAAAAGUUGGGAAAACAGCGAAUUGAGGGGGGGGGGAAAGAGAGGGAAAUUGGAGCAGACGGGGCAACGAUCCCAUUCGGGUUACGAUACUCUUCCCUGUGUCCCCUAUUGCGAAAAGGAUGUAACGGCAACGAGUAACGAUAAUUACUCUUCGGGUACAUGGGAGGUAAGAAGAUUCGGGAAUAUCUGACGCGGGGAUCGGAGGAGGGAAGUGAAUGAAGAUUAGUAGAAAUAGUGCAGAAGAAAUUGCAGUUUAGUUUUCGGCAGAGAUCGGGAGCACGGCCUUACGAGGCUAGUGACCCCAGCGGUACACUUUAACUUUACGUCUGCGCCAUGUCGCGUAUUAUUUCGGAUAGAGGCGUCCCGGAUAUUUAUCUCAUUCUUUAUCCCCUCUUCAAUUAACAUCUUGAUAUUCUCGUACCAUUAUUCCAGAGCUUAAAUUAAAAAUGAUCAACAUGUAAUUUAUUAUU
Molecule: long non-coding RNA, 1083 nt
Organism: Athalia rosae (coleseed sawfly)
Lineage: Eukaryota; Metazoa; Arthropoda; Insecta; Hymenoptera; Athaliidae
Exons: 5
Source: RefSeq, a predicted model, not a curated record